AAGAUACGCGCAGAACCUUACCAACACUUGACAUGUUCGUCGCGACUUCCAGAGAUGGGAGUUUUCGGUUCGGCCGGACGAAACACAGGUGCUGCAUGGCUGUCGUCAGCUCGUGUCGUGAGAUGUUGGGUUAAGUCCCGCAACGAGCGCAACCCUCACUUUUAGUUGCCAUCAUUAAGUUGGGCACUCUGAAAGAACUGCCAGUGAUAAGCUGGAGGAAGGUGGGGAUGACGUCAAGUCCUCAUGGCCCUUACGUGUUGGGCUACACACGUGCUACAAUGGCAUCUACAACAGGAAGCAAAACGGCAACGUUAAGCAAAUCCCGAAAAGAUGCCUCAGUUCGGAUUGCACUCUGCAACUCGAGUGCAUGAAGCUGGAAUUCUUG
This 385-nucleotide ribosomal RNA is filed under the name uncultured Alphaproteobacteria bacterium. Its description in RNAcentral is "bacterial SSU rRNA". It matches the Rfam family "Bacterial small subunit ribosomal RNA", at positions 954 to 1332 of the family's 1533-position model. Lineage: Bacteria; Pseudomonadati; Pseudomonadota; Alphaproteobacteria. The record is from RNAcentral.